RNAcentral lists this unclassified non-coding RNA (612 nucleotides) under Hevea brasiliensis (rubber tree). The record is from RNAcentral. Lineage: Eukaryota; Viridiplantae; Streptophyta; Magnoliopsida; Malpighiales; Euphorbiaceae.
CGAAAAAACAACAUACAAAUGGGCAACGCAUAUUGAGAUUAGUUUUAAACUCAGAUAUAUGGAUGCUGUGUACUGUAGGUUGUAAUGUAGAAUAUAACAGGUUAAGCAUGUUGAUAAGGUGAAAAACGAAAAAAAAAAAAAACGGAGGAUGAUUAGGGGGCUUGGGUGGCAUUGAAACAGAAAUGUUGGAAAAGCCAGAGAGGUAGGAGAAAUUUAGGUUGGAAGACUGCACCUACAUUUUUAAUGCAGUGUUUAUGGUUGGCACAUUAAUAGAGCUUUUAUUGGCAAUGAAAAAGAAGUAGACACGAAAUAAAGUGGGGUCUUUUCUGAGAACUUUUGUUCUUAUGGUUUCUAGGGAUGCUUUCUUCCCUAAUUCUUGUACUUAGAAGAUUGUUAGGCAUUUUAAACUUUUAUGUGGUAGUGUUAUUUUACACAUUUGCUAUAGGCUUUUCCUUUAUGUACAUUUGGUGUUUGUAGUAUUCUCCUUCCACCCUAGACAAUAAAGAGAGAAGAAGAUGAAGAUGGCAUCAAUCAAGUAGAAAGGACAUAUUUCUCAGUUGGUUGAAUUAGGUGCAACAUGGACCUAUUAGUGCAUAUUUAAGGAAUAUAUAU